This 2900-nucleotide ribosomal RNA is filed under the name Klebsiella pneumoniae. RNAcentral's name for it is "bacterial LSU rRNA". It matches the Rfam family "Bacterial large subunit ribosomal RNA". Lineage: Bacteria; Pseudomonadati; Pseudomonadota; Gammaproteobacteria; Enterobacterales; Enterobacteriaceae. The record is from RNAcentral.
UUAAGCGACUAAGCGUACACGGUGGAUGCCCUGGCAGUCAGAGGCGAUGAAGGACGUGCUAAUCUGCGAAAAGCGUCGGUAAGGUGAUAUGAACCGUUAUAACCGGCGAUGUCCGAAUGGGGAAACCCAGUGUGAUUCGUCACACUAUCGUUAACUGAAUACAUAGGUUAACGAGGCGAACCGGGGGAACUGAAACAUCUAAGUACCCCGAGGAAAAGAAAUCAACCGAGAUUCCCCCAGUAGCGGCGAGCGAACGGGGAGCAGCCCAGAGUCUGAAUCAGCUUGUGUGUUAGUGGAACGGUCUGGAAAGUCCGACGGUACAGGGUGAUAGUCCCGUACACCAAAAUGCACAGGUUGUGAACUCGAAGAGUAGGGCGGGACACGUGGUAUCCUGUCUGAAUAUGGGGGGACCAUCCUCCAAGGCUAAAUACUCCUGACUGACCGAUAGUGAACCAGUACCGUGAGGGAAAGGCGAAAAGAACCCCGGCGAGGGGAGUGAAAAAGAACCUGAAACCGUGUACGUACAAGCAGUGGGAGCACCUUCGGGUGUGACUGCGUACCUUUUGUAUAAUGGGUCAGCGACUUAUAUUCUGUAGCAAGGUUAACCGUAUAGGGGAGCCGCAGGGAAACCGAGUCUUAACUGGGCGUUAAGUUGCAGGGUAUAGACCCGAAACCCGGUGAUCUAGCCAUGGGCAGGUUGAAGGUUGGGUAACACUAACUGGAGGACCGAACCGACUAAUGUUGAAAAAUUAGCGGAUGACUUGUGGCUGGGGGUGAAAGGCCAAUCAAACCGGGAGAUAGCUGGUUCUCCCCGAAAGCUAUUUAGGUAGCGCCUCGUGAAUUCAUCUUCGGGGGUAGAGCACUGUUUCGGCUAGGGGGUCAUCCCGACUUACCAACCCGAUGCAAACUACGAAUACCGAAGAAUGUUAUCACGGGAGACACACGGCGGGUGCUAACGUCCGUCGUGAAGAGGGAAACAACCCAGACCGCCAGCUAAGGUCCCAAAGUCAUGGUUAAGUGGGAAACGAUGUGGGAAGGCACAGACAGCCAGGAUGUUGGCUUAGAAGCAGCCAUCAUUUAAAGAAAGCGUAAUAGCUCACUGGUCGAGUCGGCCUGCGCGGAAGAUGUAACGGGGCUAAACCAUGCACCGAAGCUGCGGCAGCGACACUAUGUGUUGUUGGGUAGGGGAGCGUUCUGUAAGCCUGCGAAGGUGUGCUGUGAGGCAUGCUGGAGGUAUCAGAAGUGCGAAUGCUGACAUAAGUAACGAUAAAGCGGGUGAAAAGCCCGCUCGCCGGAAGACCAAGGGUUCCUGUCCAACGUUAAUCGGGGCAGGGUGAGUCGACCCCUAAGGCGAGGCCGAAAGGCGUAGUCGAUGGGAAACAGGUUAAUAUUCCUGUACUUGGUGUUACUGCGAAGGGGGGACGGAGAAGGCUAUGUUAGCCGGGCGACGGUUGUCCCGGUUUAAGCAUGUAGGCUGAUUGUCCAGGCAAAUCCGGAUAAUCAAGGCUGAGGUGUGAUGACGAGGCACUACGGUGCUGAAGUAACAAAUGCCCUGCUUCCAGGAAAAGCCUCUAAGCAUCAGGUAACAUUAAAUCGUACCCCAAACCGACACAGGUGGUCAGGUAGAGAAUACCAAGGCGCUUGAGAGAACUCGGGUGAAGGAACUAGGCAAAAUGGUGCCGUAACUUCGGGAGAAGGCACGCUGGUGUGUAGGUGAAGUCCCUGCGGAUGGAGCUGAGACCAGUCGAAGAUACCAGCUGGCUGCAACUGUUUAUUAAAAACACAGCACUGUGCAAACACGAAAGUGGACGUAUACGGUGUGACGCCUGCCCGGUGCCGGAAGGUUAAUUGAUGGGGUUAUCCGUAAGGAGAAGCUCUUGAUCGAAGCCCCGGUAAACGGCGGCCGUAACUAUAACGGUCCUAAGGUAGCGAAAUUCCUUGUCGGGUAAGUUCCGACCUGCACGAAUGGCGUAAUGAUGGCCAGGCUGUCUCCACCCGAGACUCAGUGAAAUUGAACUCGCUGUGAAGAUGCAGUGUACCCGCGGCAAGACGGAAAGACCCCGUGAACCUUUACUAUAGCUUGACACUGAACAUUGAGCCUUGAUGUGUAGGAUAGGUGGGAGGCUUUGAAGCGUGGACGCCAGUCUGCGUGGAGCCAACCUUGAAAUACCACCCUUUAAUGUUUGAUGUUCUAACGUUGGCCCCUGACCGGGGUUGCGGACAGUGUCUGGUGGGUAGUUUGACUGGGGCGGUCUCCUCCCAAAGCGUAACGGAGGAGCACGAAGGUUAGCUAAUCCUGGUCGGACAUCAGGAGGUUAGUGCAAUGGCAUAAGCUAGCUUGACUGCGAGCGUGACGGCGCGAGCAGGUGCGAAAGCAGGUCAUAGUGAUCCGGUGGUUCUGAAUGGAAGGGCCAUCGCUCAACGGAUAAAAGGUACUCCGGGGAUAACAGGCUGAUACCGCCCAAGAGUUCAUAUCGACGGCGGUGUUUGGCACCUCGAUGUCGGCUCAUCACAUCCUGGGGCUGAAGUAGGUCCCAAGGGUAUGGCUGUUCGCCAUUUAAAGUGGUACGCGAGCUGGGUUUAGAACGUCGUGAGACAGUUCGGUCCCUAUCUGCCGUGGGCGCUGGAGAAUUGAGGGGGGCUGCUCCUAGUACGAGAGGACCGGAGUGGACGCAUCACUGGUGUUCGGGUUGUCAUGCCAAUGGCACUGCCCGGUAGCUAAAUGCGGAAGAGAUAAGUGCUGAAAGCAUCUAAGCACGAAACUUGCCCCGAGAUGAGUUCUCCCUGAGACUUUAAGUCUCCUGAAGGAACGUUGAAGACGACGACGUUGAUAGGCCGGGUGUGUAAGCGCAGCGAUGCGUUGAGCUAACCGGUACUAAUGAACCGUGAGGCUUAACCUU